This is a long non-coding RNA of Myotis lucifugus (little brown bat), 493 nucleotides long. RefSeq lists it as uncharacterized. The record is from RefSeq and is a predicted model, not a curated record. NCBI's taxonomy places the organism in Eukaryota, Metazoa, Chordata, Mammalia, Chiroptera, Vespertilionidae. The transcript has 3 exons.
GCGCCGGGAGGUCGGGCGGGAUCAGCUCUCAGGCUCCAGGGGCGGCGGGCGGCUCGGUCAUCUGCGGGGAAGUCUGGUCUCUUCAGAGCCGGGGACCGCGGGCCGGGGACUCGACUCCUCCGAGCGGGAGAGCGAGAAUUCCAAGUAUGUGACUGAAAUUACCUACUUUCCCCUGGAUGGAAUGUUGAGAUGGGCUUACACCAAACCAAGGAUCACCAUUAUUUAAUACCCUUGCAUCAGGGUGGAGUUGGCUUAGCCUGGACGCCUAGGCCAGUGGUUGGCAAACUCAUUAGUCAACAAAGCCAAAUAUCAACAGUACAACGAUUGAAAUUUCUUUUGAGAGCCAAAUUUUUUAAACGUAAACUAUAUAGAACUAAAGCCUUGUGUGUUGGGAGAGACUGAAAGGUAUGCCUUGUCCAUCUGUUAUGUUCUCUUUUCCUCCUAAACAACUGAAAAGGCAUGUAGUUGACAAAAAUCAUGGAAGUUCAUUGGU